Unclassified non-coding RNA from Pongo abelii (Sumatran orangutan), 143 nucleotides. It matches the Rfam family "Metazoan signal recognition particle RNA". From Rfam's summary of the family: The signal recognition particle (SRP) is a universally conserved ribonucleoprotein. The record is from Ensembl. Lineage: Eukaryota; Metazoa; Chordata; Mammalia; Primates; Hominidae.
GCCAGGUGUGGUGAUGCUCACCUGUAGUCCCAGCUACUGGGGAGGCUGAGGUGGGAGGAUCGCUUGAGCCCAGGAGUUUGAGGCUGCAGUGAGCUGUGAUCACUGCCCUCCAGCCUGGGCAAUGGAGUGAGACCCUGUCUCAA